RNAcentral lists this ribosomal RNA (253 nucleotides) under uncultured bacterium. RNAcentral's name for it is "partial 16S ribosomal RNA". It matches the Rfam family "Bacterial small subunit ribosomal RNA", at positions 524 to 776 of the family's 1533-position model. The record is from RNAcentral.
UACAGAGGGUGCAAGCGUUGUUCGGAAUUAUUGGGCGUAAAGGGCGCGUAGGCGGUGCGGUAAGUCUGUAGUGAAAUCUCUGGGCUCAACUCAGAGUCUGCUAUAGAAACUGCCGUGCUUGAGUGUGGGAGAGGUGAGUGGAAUUCCCGGUGUAGCGGUGAAAUGCGUAGAUAUCGUAAGGAACACCUGUGGCGGAAGCGGCUUACUGGGUCUUUUCUGACGCUGAUGCACGAAAGCCAGGGGAGCAAACGGG